CCUACGGGAGGCUGCAGUAGGGAAUCUUCCUCAAUGGACGCAAGUCUGAUGGAGCAACGCCGCGUGAGUGAUGAAGGGUUUCGGCUCGUAAAGCUCUGUUGGUAGUGAAGAAAGAUAGAGGUAGUAACUGGCCUUUAUUUGACGGUAAUUACUUAGACAGUCAAGGCUAAAUACGUGCCAGCAGCCGCGGUCAUACGUCGGUGGCAAGCGUUGUCUGGUUGUAUUGGGUGUAAAGCGAGUGCAGGCGGUUAAAUAAGUCUGAUGUGAAAGCCUGCGGCUCAACCGGAGAAUUGCAAUAGAAACUGGUGGACUUGAGUGCAGAAGAGGGGAGUGGAACUCCAUGUGUAGCGGUGGAAUGCUUAGAUAUAUGGAAGAACACCAGUGGCGAAGGCGGCUCUCUGGUCUGCAACUGACGCUGAGGCUCGAAAGCAUGGGUAGCGAACAGGAUUAGAUACCCGAGUAGUC
RNAcentral lists this ribosomal RNA (465 nucleotides) under uncultured bacterium. RNAcentral describes it as "partial 16S ribosomal RNA". It matches the Rfam family "Bacterial small subunit ribosomal RNA", at positions 338 to 795 of the family's 1533-position model. The record is from RNAcentral.